Molecule: ribosomal RNA, 468 nt
Filed under: uncultured bacterium
Lineage: Bacteria
Description: partial 16S ribosomal RNA
Rfam family: Bacterial small subunit ribosomal RNA
Source: RNAcentral
GACGAACGCUGGCGGCGUGCUUAACACAUGCAAGUCGAACGGAAAGGCCCUGCUUUUGUGGGGUGCUCGAGUGGCGAACGGGUGAGUAACACGUGAGUAACCUGCCCUUGACUUUGGGAUAACUUCAGGAAACUGGGGCUAAUACCGGAUAGGAGCUCCUGCUGCAUGGUGGGGGUUGGAAAGUUUCGGCGGUUGGGGAUGGACUCGCGGCUUAUCAGCUUGUUGGUGGGGUAGUGGCUCACCAAGGCUUUGACGGGUAGCCGGCCUGAGAGGGUGACCGGCCACAUUGGGACUGAGAUACGGCCCAGACUCCUACGGGAGGCAGCAGUGGGGAAUAUUGCACAAUGGGCGGAAGCCUGAUGCAGCAACGCCGCGUGCGGGAUGACGGCCUUCGUGUUGUAAACCGCUUUCGCCUGUGACGAAGCGUGAGUGACGGUAAUGGGUAAAGAAGCACCGGCUAACUACGUG